AAUGACUCUCGGCAAUGGAUAUCUUGGCUCUUGCAUCGAUGAAGAACGUAGUGAAAUGCGAUACUUGGUGUGAAUUGCAGAAUCUCGUGAACCAUUGAGUCUUUGAACGCAAGUUGUGCCCGAGGCCUUGCGGUCGAGGGCACGCCUGCUUGGGCGUCAUCGC
This 163-nucleotide ribosomal RNA is filed under the name Renealmia battenbergiana. Its description in RNAcentral is "5.8S ribosomal RNA". It matches the Rfam family "5.8S ribosomal RNA". Rfam says of the family: 5.8S ribosomal RNA (5.8S rRNA) is a component of the large subunit of the eukaryotic ribosome. It is transcribed by RNA polymerase I as part of the 45S precursor that also contains 18S and 28S rRNA. Lineage: Eukaryota; Viridiplantae; Streptophyta; Magnoliopsida; Zingiberales; Zingiberaceae. The record is from RNAcentral.